AUAGUAGAAUAUUGCAGUUCUUUCAAUAUGCAUUAUUUACAGUUUUGGAUAUUUAUCUAUCUAUCUAUCUGCUUAUGCCUGCUUAGACCUAGUGGGAUGAUCGGCGGAGUCGGCGGCCGAACCCACUGGGAACUAUGGAAGAUAGUUCUCACCCCAUUUCAUUUCAGGGCUGAGUGCGGGCGCGCCGGGCGAGGAUCGCGGCAAAGGCAUUGCGCCCGAGCAAUAGCAUAGUAGCUUCCUUUAUGCAUUAGAGCACCAUUUUGUAUCUAGAUGCUUUAUGUUUUUGGAAGAGCUAAUGAUGUAAUUGAGAUGAAUAUAAUUAUCCAUUUUGCAAGUUAUAAAUAUAAACUUGAUGU
This 356-nucleotide long non-coding RNA is filed under the name Ananas comosus (pineapple). Its description in RNAcentral is "long non-coding RNA (ACOM_LNC012266)". Lineage: Eukaryota; Viridiplantae; Streptophyta; Magnoliopsida; Poales; Bromeliaceae. The record is from RNAcentral.